GAUGAACGCUGGCGGCGUGCCUAACACAUGCAAGUCGAACGAGAUGCGUAUUGGAAAGCUUCGGCCGGAAGAUACGUUAUCUAGUGGCGGACGGGUGAGUAACACGUGGGUAACCUGCCUUAUGGAGGGGGAUAACAGAGAGAAAUCACUGCUAAUACCGCAUAAGCACACAGUACCGCAUGGUAGAGUGUGAAAAGAUUUAUCGCCAUAAGAUGGACCCGCGUCUGAUUAGCCAGUUGGCAGGGUAAAAGCCUACCAAAGCAACGAUCAGUAGCCGAUCUGAGAGGAUGACCGGCCACAUUGGGACUGAGACACGGCCCAAACUCCUACGGGAGGCAGCAGUGGGGAAUAUUGCACAAUGGGGGAAACCCCGAUGCAGCGACGCCGCGUGAGUGAAGAAGUAUUUCGGUAUGUAAAGCUCUAUCAGCAGGGAAGAUAAUGACUGUACCUGACUAAGAAGCCCCGGCUAACUACGUGCCAGCAGCCGCGGUAAUACGUAGGGGGCAAGCGUUAUCCGGAUUUACUGGGUGUAAAGGGAGCGUAGACGGAGUGGCAAGUCUGAAGUGAAAACCCUGGGCUUAACCUGGGGGACUGCUUUGGAAACUGUUAAUCUAAAGUGUUGGAGAUGUAAGUGGAAUUCCUGGUGGAGCGGUGAAAUGCGUAGAUAUCAGGAAGAACUGCGGAGGCGAAGGCGGCUUACUGGACUAGAACUGACGUGUGAGGCGCGGAGCGUGGGGUUCAUACAGUGAUAUGUUCCUGUAGUAUUUGUGUGGCGAGAUCCUCAGUGGGUUCUCGAGUUUAUCCUGACCUUCGACUGCUCGGUGUGUGCCCUCGUUCUUUUUUUUUUUUCUUUGUGGAGUUGUAUUAAUCUUGUGUAUGUUGUGUUGUUUUGUUUAUGUGUGA
RNAcentral lists this ribosomal RNA (903 nucleotides) under uncultured Actinomyces sp. RNAcentral's name for it is "partial 16S ribosomal RNA". It matches the Rfam family "Bacterial small subunit ribosomal RNA". The record is from RNAcentral. Lineage: Bacteria; Bacillati; Actinomycetota; Actinomycetes; Actinomycetales; Actinomycetaceae.